AGCUCGGGAGCUAGGGAACUGAUUGAGACACACCCUUUGUUAAUAUCCACCUGCGCCUCCAUUUUGUAUUCUAACGUACAUUACGCUGUGAGGAAACCGCUGCAAAUGAAACAGUGCGUCACGUGAGUGAACUGUUCAAAUGAAUCAAACUGAAUCGUGAACAAUAUGACCUUCUCGCGAACCGUUCGCCGGAUUAGAUCCAAUUAAGAGUGAUUUAUUCGCGAUCUGGCAUUGCUAAUUAUAAUGGCACUCGUAGCUUUUCUUAAUGAUCGUGGCUUAAUCGUGGUAGCUGAGAAUAAAAGAUAUUGCUGAAGUUCAUCUUCUGAUAUUGGAUUCCAGCGCCUCAAAUAUUCAGCUGGAGGUGAUUUCAUUCUGGCCACAGAGAGACAAAUGUCAGAAAUCUCUACAUUUUAUGUGAAACCGGAGCGCUAUCGUUGACAUUUUCUGCGGAUCCUUGGCGGACGCUAUCAAAGCUUUUUGGUUGUGUUUCAGGACACAUGCUGUGGGAGGCUGCAGACGUUGCACGACUGUUUACAAGGAUCUGUCAUUCAUUCUAAAUGAGUAACUCACCCAGACCCUUCUGAGGAGCCGGAGACCUGAACUCCAUCAGCAACUGCAGGAAGGGCUUCUCAGGACUGACCUCAUAAUACCUGAUGUUUCCGUCACCCUGUGGACGUCAGAUGAUCUCGACGCUGGUGGCCAGUAAACUUCCAUCAGUGUUGAAGGACAUACAGAGGACGACGUCUGGAUGGCUGUCAAUCAUCUUCACAGCCACGCCCUCUUCCAGAUUCCAAAUCAGAAUCUGUUCCGUAAACAACAAAAUAUCACCA
Molecule: long non-coding RNA, 830 nt
Organism: Megalobrama amblycephala (Wuchang bream)
Lineage: Eukaryota; Metazoa; Chordata; Actinopteri; Cypriniformes; Xenocyprididae
Exons: 4
Source: RefSeq, a predicted model, not a curated record